RNAcentral lists this ribosomal RNA (647 nucleotides) under Platyophryides magnus. RNAcentral describes it as "LSU rRNA". It matches the Rfam family "Eukaryotic large subunit ribosomal RNA", at positions 47 to 679 of the family's 3401-position model. The record is from RNAcentral. Lineage: Eukaryota; Ciliophora; Colpodea; Cyrtolophosidida; Platyophryidae.
UAAGCGGAGGAAAAGAAACUAACGAAGAUUGCCUUAGUAGCGGCGAGUGAAGCGGCAAGAGUCCAAGUUUAAAAUCUGGGGUUUCCACCUCCGAAUUGUAAUCUAAAGAGGUUAGCAAAAGGGGAAGCGGAAGCAUAAGUUCUCUGGAACGAGACAUCAAAGAGGGUGAAAAUCCCGUAUUUGGCUUCUGCUGAACCGAAUGCUGGUCUUCAUAGAGUCGGGUUGUUUGGGAUUGCAGCCCUAAAUGGGAGAUAAACUUCUUCUAAGGCUAAAUAUUGAUGGGAAACCGAUAGCGAACAAGUACUGUGAAGGAAAGAUGAAAAGAACUUUGAAAAGAGGGUUAAAAGACCUGAAAUCGUUGAGAAGGAAGCGGUAGAAACGAAUCAAUUGGCGCCGAAGUAAAGGAGGUGAGGUAAGUUUCCUGGUGGUGAUGUUCGUUAAAGGCUAGCCGUCAGGAAGUCAACUCUCUCUUGAUUUCGGUGUCAAAAGGCAGAAUGGGUUCAUACCUACAGUAAUCAGCUUGAGAAACGUCGGCGGGUUUCCGUCAGCUCUCGGGCAAAACUGCGGGGUGGACUGAGGGCGCAAAUGCGAUUCUGCCAAGAUGGUUUCUACCGACCCGUCUUGAAACACGGACCAAGGAGUCUAAC